RNAcentral lists this ribosomal RNA (444 nucleotides) under ascomycete sp. Pv4. RNAcentral describes it as "SSU rRNA". It matches the Rfam family "Eukaryotic small subunit ribosomal RNA", at positions 92 to 539 of the family's 1831-position model. Lineage: Eukaryota; Fungi; Ascomycota. The record is from RNAcentral.
AAUGGCUCAUUAAAUCAGUUAUCGUUUAUUUGAUAGUACCUUACUACAUGGAUAACCGUGGUAAUUCUAGAGCUAAUACAUGCUAAAAACCUCGACUUCGGAAGGGGUGUAUUUAUUAGAUAAAAAACCAAUGCCCUUCGGGGCUCCUUGGUGAAUCAUAAUAACUUAACGAAUCGCAUGGCCUUGCGCCGGCGAUGGUUCAUUCAAAUUUCUGCCCUAUCAACUUUCGAUGGUAGGAUAGUGGCCUACCAUGGUAUCAACGGGUAACGGGGAAUUAGGGUUCGACUCCGGAGAGGGAGCCUGAGAAACGGCUACCACAUCCAAGGAAGGCAGCAGGCGCGCAAAUUACCCAAUCCCGACACGGGGAGGUAGUGACAAUAAAUACUGAUACAGGGCUCUUUUGGGUCUUGUAAUUGGAAUGAGUACAAUUUAAAUCCCUUAACG